UACGGAGGAUGCGAGCGUUAUCCGGACUUAUUGGGUUUAAAGGGUGCGUAGGCGGCCUGCCAAGUCAGCGGUAAAAUUGCGGGGCUCAACCCCGUACAGCCGUUGAAACUGCCGGGCUCGAGUGGGCGAGAAGUAUGCGGAAUGCGUGGUGUAGCGGUGAAAUGCAUAGAUAUCACGCAGAACCCCGAUUGCGAAGGCAGCAUACCGGCGCCCGACUGACGCUGAGGCACGAAAGUGCGGGGAUCAAACAGG
This 252-nucleotide ribosomal RNA is filed under the name uncultured bacterium. RNAcentral describes it as "partial 16S ribosomal RNA". It matches the Rfam family "Bacterial small subunit ribosomal RNA", at positions 524 to 776 of the family's 1533-position model. The record is from RNAcentral.